GUCUCUGUAGUGCAAUGGAUAGCGCGUUGGACAUCUAAUCCAAAGGUCGUGGGUUCGAAUACACCUGGGAUG
Molecule: transfer RNA, 72 nt
Filed under: Trichonephila clavata
Lineage: Eukaryota; Metazoa; Arthropoda; Arachnida; Araneae; Nephilidae
Rfam family: tRNA
About the family: Transfer RNA (tRNA) molecules are approximately 80 nucleotides in length. Their secondary structure includes four short double-helical elements and three loops (D, anti-codon, and T loops).
Source: Rfam by way of RNAcentral